RNAcentral lists this microRNA precursor (124 nucleotides) under Hordeum vulgare. RNAcentral describes it as "microRNA MIR1122". It matches the Rfam family "MIR1120/MIR1122 microRNA precursor family". Lineage: Eukaryota; Viridiplantae; Streptophyta; Magnoliopsida; Poales; Poaceae. The record is from RNAcentral.
GACAUACUCCCUCCGUCCGGAAAUACUUGUCAUUGGAAUGGAUGUAUCUAGAUGUAUUUUAGUUUUAGAUACAUCACUUUUAUCCAUUUGUGCGACAAGUAAUUCCGGAUGGAGGGAGUACAUC